RNAcentral lists this ribosomal RNA (2081 nucleotides) under human gut metagenome. RNAcentral's name for it is "bacterial LSU rRNA". It matches the Rfam family "Bacterial large subunit ribosomal RNA", at positions 377 to 2444 of the family's 2925-position model. The record is from RNAcentral.
AACCCAGACCGGACGGCGCGACGCGGUCCCUGAGUAGGGCCGGGCACGUGAAACCCGGUCCGAACCUGGGUGGACCACCAUCCAAGCCUGAGUACUACCCUGUGACCGAUAGCGCACCAGUACCGUGAGGGAAAGGUGAAAAGCACCCCGGGAGGGGAGUGAAACAGUACCUGAAACCGUGCGCCCACGAGCAGUCGGAGCACCUUUAUGGUGUGACGGCGUGCCUUUUGUAGAAUGAGCCAGCGAGUCGCUGGCGCGGGGCGAGGUUAACCGAAAGGGAGCCGGAGCGAAAGCGAGCCUUAACAGGGCGACUUGAGUCCCGCGCCGCGGACGCGAAGCCGGGUGAGCUAUCCGUGGGCAGGCUGAAGCGGGGGUAAGACCCCGUGGAGGGCCGAACGCACGUCGGUUGAAAACGGCGGCGAUGACCUGCGGAUAGGGGUGAAAGGCCAAUCAAACCCGGAGAUAUCUCGUUCUCCCCGAAAUAGCUUUAGGGCUAGCGUCGCGCGUUCACCGCCGGAGGUAGAGCACCGGAUGGACGAGGGGGCUUCGCCGCCUACCGAAUCCAACCGAACUCCGAAUGCCGGCGGCCCAGAGCGCGGCAGUCAGAGCAUGUGGGCUAAGCUGUGUGCUCGAGAGGGAAACAGCCCGGACCGCCCGCUAAGGUCCCCAAGUUCCAGCCGAGUGGCAAAGGAUGUGCGUCCGCCCAGACAACCAGGAUGUUGGCUUAGAAGCAGCCAUGCAUUCAAAGAGUGCGUAACAGCUCACUGGUCGAGUGGACAUGCGCCGACAAUACACGGGGCUAAGCUGGACACCGAAGCGGCGGGAUUUUGAUUUUCAGAAUCGGUAGGGGAGCUUCCCAUGGGCGGAGAAGCCGGAGGGCGACCGACGGUGGAGCGCAUGGGAGUGAGAAUGCUGGCAUGAGUAGCGAGAGACGAGAGAGUAACUCGUCCGCCGUGAACCCGAGGUUUCCUGGGCAAGGCUAAUCCUCCCAGGGUCAGUCGGGGGCUAAGGCGAGGCCGGGAGGCGUAGCCGACGCGCAGCAGGCAGACAUUCCUGCACCGCGCACGCGGCGCUACGACCGACGGGGCGACGGAUGGGGGUGGCUCGGCGGGGUUCUGGACGUCCCCGUGAUGGAGCGCGGCCCGCGGACCAGGGAAAUCCGGUCCGCAUCGAGGGCGAGGCUCCGGACGAAGCACUUAAGCGAAGCGAGUGAGCCCGAGGUCCCUAGAAAAACCCCUAGGCAGGCGCGUGCGCGCCCGUACCGCAAACCGACACAGGUGGGUGGGUAGAACAUACCGAGGCGAUCGGGUCAACCAUGGUCAAGGAACUCGGCACAAUGGCCCCGUAACUUCGGGAGAAGGGGUGCCCGCGCGUACGUGAACGGACUUGCUCCGGGAGCGGAGGCGGGCCGCAGUGGAGAGGCCCAAGCGACUGUUUACCAAAAACACAGGACUCUGCAGAAGCCGCAAGGCGACGUAUAGGGUCUGACGCCUGCCCGGUGCCGGAAGGUCACGCGGAGGAGUUAGCGCAUCGCGCGAAGCCCCGAAGCCAAGCCCCGGUAAACGGCGGCCGUAACUAUAACGGUCCUAAGGUAGCGAAAUUCCUUGUCGGGUAAGUUCCGACCUGCACGAAAGGCGCAACGACUUGGGCGCUGUCUCGACCAUGGACCCGGUGAAAUUGCACUGGUCGUGAAGAUGCGACUUACCCGCGGAAGGACGGAAAGACCCCGUGAACCUUCACUGCAGCUUGGCAUUGGCCGCUGGUCCCGCGUGUAGAGGAUAGGCAGGAGGCGAAGAUCCGGAGGCGCCAGCCCCCGGGGAGCCGCCCUUGGAAUACUGCCCUCGCGCGACCGGCGUCCUAACCCGAGGCCGUCAACCGGCUCGGGGACCGUGCCAGGCGGGCAGUUUGACUGGGGCGGUCGCCUCCUAAAGGGUAACGGAGGCGCGCGAAGGUCCGCUCGGGACGGUCGGCAACCGUCCUUUUGAAUGCAAGAGUACAAGCGGGCUUGACUGCGAGGCCCACAAGCCGAGCAGGUGCGAAAGCAGGCUCUAGUGAUCCGGCGGCCCCGAGUGGGUGGGCCG